Molecule: ribosomal RNA, 421 nt
Filed under: Theileria annulata
Lineage: Eukaryota; Apicomplexa; Aconoidasida; Piroplasmida; Theileriidae
Description: SSU rRNA
Rfam family: Eukaryotic small subunit ribosomal RNA
Source: RNAcentral
AAUACCCCAACCUGACACAGGGAGGUAGUGACAAGAAAUAACAAUACGGGGCUUAAAGUCUUGUAAUUGGAAUGAUGGGAAUUUAAACCUCUUCCAGAGUAUCAAUUGGAGGGCAAAUCUGGUGCCAACAGCCGCGGUAAUUCCAGCUCCAAUAGCGUAUAUUAAAAUUGUUGCAGUUAAAAAGCUCGUAGUUGAAUUUCUGCUGCAUUGCUUGUGUCCCUCUGGGGUCUGUGCAUGUGGCUUUUUUCGGACGGAGUUUCUUUGUCUGAAUGUUUACUUUGAGAAAAUUAGAGUGCUCAAAGCAGGCUUUCGCCUUGAAUAGUUUACCAUGGAAUAAUAAAGUACGACUUUGGUUCUAUUUUGUUGGUUUUAGGUACCAAAGUAAUGGUUAAUAGGAACAGUUGGGGGCUUCGGAAUUUAA